This is a long non-coding RNA of Cydia fagiglandana, 3131 nucleotides long. RefSeq lists it as uncharacterized. NCBI's taxonomy places the organism in Eukaryota, Metazoa, Arthropoda, Insecta, Lepidoptera, Tortricidae. The transcript has 4 exons. The record is from RefSeq and is a predicted model, not a curated record.
UAUUAAUAAUUCCGUCUAGCCCAUGCCUAAUUAGUCCAUACUAAUCUAGAUUAGUUCAUGGUCUAGGUCUUAGGUCUACGGAAGAUCUGAAUGAAAUUUUGAAAAUCAAAUUAAAGUGCAUAAAAAAUAAGAGUUUUGAAUCGGCGACAUAUACCUUUUGGCAGAAUUCGGAUUGUCGCGUAUUUUGGAUUUCCAAGUGUUAAUUUAUUUUGAUGAAUUCUGAAAUUGAUCUACAAUUAUGUUGUUAAAAAUGUUGGCUAGGAUAGCUAGGUCAGCGUGUAGGCCUCAAUAAAACUAUUUUGAAGAACGACUAAGUACUGUCUGUGUAUCGCCUAACCAUCAAUUGCCUCGACAUCAAAGAGCUCCUCGGAUCGGAUUUCUUUGAUGAUUUUCCGUGGCGCCAACUGGUGAGCACGAAAACGGUAGUCCUCAUUAUUGCUACUUCAGAAGGGGAAGGGGAGGAAGAGCAGGAGGAUAUAGAACAAAGUUACCUAUUUAAAUGAUUUAAAACAUCAUGGCCGGAAGACCACCUAAAAGACGGAAAUAUACAAGUGGCCUCUAGUGGAAUAACCAGAGAUGAGUCACUAUCACAAACUACUAUGUACUGCGCCAAAGCUGCUGAAAUAAUGGCGUAAUAAUACCAGCUGAUGCUUUUUAGUCCGGGGGCCAGCUGCAUGAAAUCACCUGCGAGUAUGCGCCCACUGUUGGGCAUACGCCUCUCCAAAUCUCCUCCAAGCAGCCCGAUUUGCUGCUUCUCUCCUCCAGAGUGGACCUGCAAUCUUUACGGAGGAUACCUUGUUAUAAGUAUGUAAGAAUAGUAGAUUGUAGGAGAGAACGGAAAACCGCUAAAAGAUGGACGAGUGAGUUUGAGGGCCGACACGUUAGUGCAUGGAAGCCCUCAAAUAAUACGAUACGAGUCCAUCUUUAGCGUUUCCGGCCGAGGCAUUACAUAGUACAUAGUACUUUUCACGACUACUGCGAGGAAAUAAGAAAACAUUUGCAUAACUAUAAGUACUAGCCCGCGAUUUAUCUGGUGGCAAAUUAUUAGAAUUUCGAUAUAGGCGUCAGCGUAAGGAUAUCAUUUUCUUCACUAGAAGAACUCUAAAUAUAGCGAGCGUAGAUACGUGUUUCUUGUAUUAUUUUGUCAAACACAAUUUACACUAUCCAAUUCAGAAGUAAGUAUUAUUAUAUUUUCCGAUCCCGCCUUUUUUACUUUUCUUAUCACUUUUAAGAGGCUUUUUUCUGUUGUUGACACGAGUUGUCGCAACUCGUGUCGAUUUAUCGCCACUCGUUUCGAAUUUCCUCUUUUCCGCACUUGUAUCGUAAAUAACGAUUAUUGAUUUUUAUUAUAUUUUUAUGUUUUAAAUGAUACUCAUUGCUGUAGCGAACCACAACUAAUGACAGAUGAUGAUAAGUAACAAUGAAACAUUGUAGUAGUGGUGGUUCAAGUGCUACAGCUAUAGCCUACUUUCCAACUUGGUUUGAGACCAUCUAUUGCCACAUUUCCGAACAGUGGCGAGAAAAACAUAAUUAUAAUGUCAACAAAAAGAUAAUAGAAAUUGCAAAAGUCAAUUUGUUCCUAUUAGUUAACUCUCCUUGUCCCCGGAUUAAGUUUAUUUUUGUAAUACUAAGUGUGUUUUUGUUGUACUUUUCUCUCAGUGUGACACCCUUAUGCCUUAUAAAGGGUUAAGUCAUGUUAUGGUUGUCGCAUGUAUAAAACUUAUAAUUAGAUCUGAUUAUUACUUACAAAUAGGUAUUUUUACUAUUUUUGCGAUAGGUACCCUACCAGAGUCCAUGUGCCUAUAUGUUGCUAUGUAGUCUACUCGUAUGUAAUAUAAAUAUGUAAGUACAUUGGAUGCAAAAUAAAGAUCUCUAUCUCUACGUUUUGGAGGAGGAAAAUCUUGACAUUUUCCUAACCUAACCAAAACCUCUAUUUCUAAGAUUUUUACGCAGGGUUUUUCGUCUAUGCUGCAGUUGUCUUUAUCGCACAAAUUUUAGGAGCCGCACCCAUCAGCGCGACGGAGAUAUUUACCUAAAAUUCUCAAAUCUGAGGAGGGGCUCAGCUGGUAUUUCCUCUUAUUUAAUUGACUUAGUUAUAAAUAAUAUAAAGUAAACUAUACUGUCGUUGCAUAAAUAUUUAAUCAAUUAUUCGUACACUUAACAUAUUUAUUAAUGAUAUACACCUACAUGCUGAGAUACGAGUCUACGUACAUAUAUGUAUAAUAUUUAAACAUUGCUACAUUCAUUACGUAUAUAAUCGAAAAAUAUUGGAUUACCAACGAGUUUUCUUUUGAUUCUAUUUCAAAAUACUUCACUCGUACGGGAGAGCGGGGACAAACGUAACAUUUUGUAUUUCGACCUCAGUUUCUGGGUUAUUAUUUUGAUGAAAUUAAUGUAGUCAUAAUAUAGAUUCAGUUAAUUGUCUCAUGAAGAUUUACCUUAUAAUUGUGUAUUUUAGAGUGACUUUAAAAAAAAUGUCUGUUGUUACAUAAGAUAUGACCCGUAGGCGGGCCGAACGUAAAUAAAGUAAUAUACAUGUAGUAAAUAAUUAUACAUGUACAGUACAUACCUAAUUCAUGAAACAAUAUAUAUAAAAAAGUUUAGUUUGUUAAAAUUUGCAAGGUGUCUCAGGAACCUCGCAGAGGAGGGGCCAAUUGAUGUCCGACCCGUGACACUUCUAAUACCAUCUAUAUAUCGUCGGGUGACAAGCAAAAAUCACUAACUAACACCAUUGAAAUUAUUGGACAAUUAACCGUAUUACAAGCGUAUUAAAGUGCAUUGUUACUUUAAUUUUUUGAUAGUCCUAAGUGACUUUUAUUUGUCACCCGACGAUAUAAUAAUAAUAAACAAAACAUUUUACUACUUUGUCAAUCGUGAAGUAUACAAUUAUUAUUUGGGUGUAUGAUUGUAUAAUAUUUAAUACAAAUAUUGUAGUUAUAAGGAAGAAAUAAAUUGAAGUGCAGAGGUAAAAAGGGACUAAAAAUAUUCCACCUGUCACUUUAGAAUGACCCUUAUGUGUUAUAAAAUUACUAAGAUUGAUUAUUUAUAUUUUAUAAAAUUAAUAAUGCAUAAGUACCUGAUGCGAAUUGCCGAUUUAGUAGAAAUCUGAAUUUUUAAAAAUGUGACGUCAC